RNAcentral lists this long non-coding RNA (257 nucleotides) under Selaginella moellendorffii. Its description in RNAcentral is "long non-coding RNA (SMOE_LNC000825)". The record is from RNAcentral. Lineage: Eukaryota; Viridiplantae; Streptophyta; Lycopodiopsida; Selaginellales; Selaginellaceae.
UGACUUGUAAAAUAAUUGAAGAGGAAGGCCGUACAAUGUCCGUACCCUGGGAGGAAUAUCCGGCCGAGUUUAAAAUUAUAAAAAUGGUGGAAAGGCACGAAAGUGAAAGAAAUGAACCCCCCUCGGCUGCACGUGUGAAAUUGGCUGCGCCGCUGCAAUUGCAAACCCUGCGAAGCCACAAACUGUGUCCGACUGCAGCCUUUUGAUGGAAAAUGGAUCAUCGAUUACGUCCGAUCACGACUCACUGACUGAAUCUU